This is a non-coding RNA of Maylandia zebra (zebra mbuna), 241 nucleotides long. The record is from RefSeq and is a predicted model, not a curated record. Lineage: Eukaryota; Metazoa; Chordata; Actinopteri; Cichliformes; Cichlidae.
UCCGUGUUCAGUGGUGGAGAAUGAUGGCCUCCAUGCAUCGAGUUGAUGCUGUAGGGAUCUUCAAACGGAUCACAGAACUAGGCUGUGUUGUGCGAAGAAGCUACUCGGUGCGAGGCCCUCUCUCCCUGGUCCACAUAGACACAAAUCACAAGCUAAUAAGGUACAAUGUUGUGAUCUUUGGUGGAGUGGAUGGCUACUCAAGGAAGGUCCUGUACUUGGAUGCAGCAACUAACAACAGGGC